Long non-coding RNA from Manis pentadactyla (Chinese pangolin), 1415 nucleotides. RefSeq lists it as uncharacterized. NCBI's taxonomy places the organism in Eukaryota, Metazoa, Chordata, Mammalia, Pholidota, Manidae. The record is from RefSeq and is a predicted model, not a curated record. The transcript is spliced from 2 exons.
GAUUGUCCAGAUCCCUUGUUUGUGUCCCCUUUGCUGCAAAAUUUCCCCAUUGUUGGGCCCCCAGUGAUGUCAGAGAUCACUCAUACUGGUCAUGCUUUGACCUCUACCCCCUCACUUCGUGUUCUGGAUGUUCUAGUUAAGGACUCUGACUGGCUCUUAUUUCAAUGGGAAUCUAGCCCUGAAUUACAGAGUGUUGGGGCAGAAACUACUCAUUUUCUACCCAGUCUCUCUCUUCCUCACUAAUGAAAACCCAGUGUUGUUGAGAAUGACACUGUGUCUACAUCAAAAAUCAUUAUUUUACGCCAUCCUUAAAUUCAGUAGUUGCAAGCAAGGCCUUUCUGGGGAUUACUGAGAAAGCUUUCCUUUCCUGAUACAGAAAACAUGCCUUCCCGCCGGCCCUUCCCCAUUCUUGGACCUCAGAUGUUAACGGCUGAAGCUGAAGCAUUUUUCAAAUGUGAGAAAAAAAUCCAAGAUAAUUUCAGAGAUCUUGGUGCUGAUAUCAUCGAGCCACCGGACCGCUGCCCGAAGUCACUGUGCUUAAUGUCAUCAAUGUUAAAGGAAGAAAAUAAGCUCCUCUCUUGUGUAGGCUUCUGUUAUAUUCAGUGGAAGAGACCUAGAGCUGGGAGCCGAUGCGGCGCUGCGAACACCGGGGGGCGCCCUUCACGACGGACGCCACAAGCAGUGGGACGCCCCUGAAGGGUUUGGUCAGCCAAGCGGCCUAAUAAAAAUGUUCUUUUAAGAAGACUGGCUGGUGGCCAUGUGAGGACUGUGACCCCAUCGAUUGUAUUUUCUGAAUUGCUCUUGAAUUUGUCGCCUCCUCUCCAGUCCUGUAGAAACUGCCGUCGCUCAGACUCUAGCACCUGUCUCGUGGAGUGAAGAUUGCAGCAACCUCCUAAGUGGUCUUCUUGCCUCUAAGAAGGCAUUUUCCAUUCUGAUUCAUUCUCCAUAUGUACCUAGAGAAUUUUGUCCAAUUACUUCUUGGUUUAUUCAUUUACUCAUUCAGUAUUUAUUGAGUUCUGUCAUACACAAGGCCUUGGGAACAUGGCAGCAAGUUUCCCUGAAGUGUAGGUCUUAGCACAUUGCUUUUCUCUAUCACCAGUACGAUAAAGCCAAACCCCCAGCAUGGCGCACAGCACCGUUCACGCUCUGGUGCCCUCUACCAGCAGUACGGCUUGGCAGUCCUUUCCCCGCCUCACGGUCUCCCUUGUGUUCUGUACAUAACAACUGGCUGUUGGGUGGUGGAAAGGACUCUAGGACUGGGUGUGAAUCCUGGGUGGGGGACUUCAUACUGAGAUGGUCUUGGAUAAACUGCUUAGACUCUCAAUUAACUUAUUUGUCAGUGGGAAAUAGAAAAUAUACCUUAAAACAUCUACUGUAAAAGUCCAAGAUGGGAAAAUAAAUUGACUAGCACAGUG